CCAAACAUCGAUUCCCUGCAGAAGAUUAUAACAAAGUUAGGCAUUGAUGUUUAACAAUUUUGUGUUGCGAGACCUUUGGUAGGGUGACUUACUUCUGUAUCUUGCAGCUGUGAAUGGGAACUCGGUGAUGGUUCCAUUUAUACCAGGUCCAGUAACAUACGAGUUAAUCUCAACAGUUGCGUCAGAGAAGAAGUCAAAUGGUUGAGAUACAAACUCGUUCUGAAACAGCUCCACGUAUACUGGGAGCUGAGACUUCUGCAGCCUCUCCACAACAUUGGUUUGCCCAGUGACGAACCCAUCAACGACCGGAAAGACUGAUGAUUUGCCGAUGACAACAGCGCUAGCGAACUUCUUUAUGUCUUCGAUAGCAGAGUCGAGAAUAUCACGGAUGGUUUCUUCAACUUUGUACACAGUCUCGUACUGGCUCUGCUUCUUGAAGUCAACUAGAACCGAGCUGUUUGUUGACUGAAUCAUGACUUUUGUGGUUGUUCUAUUGCUGUAUCCAGUCUCUGUGAGUGCAUCAAGAACCGCUUUGACCACGUCGAGCCCUUGCUUCUCUCUCAGGUAUGCUGCAUUCUGAGGGAGGCCAAAAAAGACAUGGCCAUGAGAAGAUUGUCAUGGUCCUAUCGGUGAAAUGUAAAGACAUAAAGAGAAACACGAGAGAACUCACUUCAACACUGAUCAAAACACCGGAGAGAGUGGUGGAGUUCUUUGCCAAGUUUAGGAACUCAGAGAGCGAAAGAAGCUUCCCAGGACACACCCUCCUAUUGUAUACCAGUACGCAAGGAGAAAGGGCCAGUCCGGUAAAGGGAAAGCCCAUGAGCAGUAGAAAGGAUUACGUGGAGAGGUUAAGGAAUAAAGAAGAAAGGUUGUUAGGGGACAAUAGCACAUGGUAUGUUUUUGCUGACGUUGGAGGAUCACGUGACGUGAGGAAGGUGCGAGGAAAGAGCCUCCAAGAGAGUAGUACUUAGUAUAAAUAUGCUAUAGACUAGAGAGAGAAAGGGCAUCAUUAGUUUGAUCAUCAUGUUCAUGGAGAGAUAGUAUCUCUAGUAUUUCUUUUGUACUCGUUCGUGUUGAUCAAGCAAACUCUUUUCAUUCAAUAAAAUCAGUCUUUACAUCUUUUGAAUCUCAUCACAUAACAACUUGGUAUCAGAGCAUUGUUUUGGACCUGGGAAAUUAUGGCACCAAAGAGAGUUGAAGGAGAACAAACCAUUGAGAUCUUACAACAAAACAGCAACAUAAUCGCAUCCUUGGAGCAGGGGAUGGAGAGGAUGACGAUCAUUGAGAAAGCCAUCGUCGCGAUGCAGCAACAGAUGCAGCAGCAGUCCAACAAGCUCAGCAUCUUAGAUCGCAUGGAACAGCGGUUCAACGAGGAGGAUGAGGACCGGAGAAGGAUGAUGGAAGCGAUUAUAGGGAAAGGAGUAGCGGCGGAAGGAACGUCGUCGGGAGGAGCAUUGGUGGGUGAGUCCGACGUGUUUGGAGGGGUAGAAAAACCCAUCGGAGUCACACACGCCGACGUUACUCCGACACAUGACGUUUCAGAGAGGAGAUCGGGAACGGGUUUGAACGUCGAGAGACCCGACGGCUGGUGGGUCGUUCGUAACCAAGCCCUGACCCGAAGGAUGGAAGUUCCGGAGUUUGACGGAGAGGACGUUGAGAGCUGGGUACUGAGGGUGGAACAGUACUUUGAGCUGGGGGAUCUCAACGAAGAAGAAACUUACUUCUGUAUCUUGCAGCUGUGAAUGGGAACUCGGUGAUGGUUCCAUUUAUACCAGGUCCAGUAACAUACGAGUUAAUCUCAACAGUUGCGUCAGAGAAGAAGUCAAAUGGUUGAGAUACAAACUCGUUCUGAAACAGCUCCACGUAUACUGGGAGCUGAGACUUCUGCAGCCUCUCCACAACAUUGGUUUGCCCAGUGACGAACC
This 1925-nucleotide long non-coding RNA is filed under the name Brassica napus (rape). Its description in RNAcentral is "long non-coding RNA (BNAP_LNC009614)". Lineage: Eukaryota; Viridiplantae; Streptophyta; Magnoliopsida; Brassicales; Brassicaceae. The record is from RNAcentral.